AACGAACGCUGGCGGCAUGCCUAACACAUGCAAGUCGAACGAGACCUUCGGGUCUAGUGGCGCACGGGUGCGUAACGCGUGGGAACCUGCCCUUAGGUUCGGAAUAACUCCCCGAAAGGGGUGCUAAUACCGGAUAAUGUCUUCGGACCAAAGAUUUAUCGCCUUUGGAUGGGCCCGCGUUGGAUUAGCUAGUUGGUAGGGUAAAAGCCUACCAAGGCGACGAUCCAUAGCUGGUCUGAGAGGAUGAUCAGCCACACUGGGACUGAGACACGGCCCAGACUCCUACGAGAGGCAGCAGUGGGGAAUAUGGGACAAUGGGCGAAAGCCUGAUCCAGCAAUGCCGCGUGAGUGAUGAAGGCCUUAGGGUUGUAAAGCUCUUUUACCCGGGAUGAUAAUGACAGUACCGGGAGAAUAAGCUCCGGCAAACUCCGU
Molecule: ribosomal RNA, 432 nt
Filed under: uncultured bacterium
Lineage: Bacteria
Description: partial 16S ribosomal RNA
Rfam family: Bacterial small subunit ribosomal RNA
Source: RNAcentral